This 250-nucleotide unclassified non-coding RNA is filed under the name uncultured Ascomycota. RNAcentral's name for it is "sequence contains ITS2". The record is from RNAcentral. Lineage: Eukaryota; Fungi; Ascomycota.
AACGCACAUUGCGCCCGGCGGUAAUCCGCCGGGCACGCCCGUCCGAGCGUCGCUCCAGCACCCCUCGGGCACCAGCUGCCCGGUGUUGGGGGUCCGCGCCUAGCCGCGGUCCCCGGAAACCAGAGGCGGCAGCGCCGAGGCGUCCCCUGCAUAGUACAUGCUAGCAGAGGGUCCCCGGCGACGCCAGCCGCGCCGCGGCGCGCUAUACUAAGAAGACCUCGGAUCGGGUGGGGAUACCCGCUGAACUUAA